GAUGAACGCUGGCGGCGUGCCUAAUACAUGCAAGUCGAGCGAACAGACGAGAAGCUUGCUCCUCUGACGUUAGCGGCGGACGGGUGAGUAACACGUGGAUAACCUACCUAUAAGACUGGGAUAACUUCGGGAAACCGGAGCUAAUACCGGAUAAUAUAUUGAACCGCAUGGUUCAAUAGUGAAAGACGGUUUUGCUGUCACUUAUAGAUGGAUCCGCGCCGCAUUAGCUAGUUGGUAAGGUAACGGCUUACCAAGGCAACGAUGCGUAGCCGACCUGAGAGGGUGAUCGGCCACACUGGAACUGAGACACGGUCCAGACUCCUACGGGAGGCAGCAGUAGGGAAUCUUCCGCAAUGGGCGAAAGCUUGACGGAGCAACGCCGCGUGAGUGAUGAAGGUCUUCGGAUCGUAAAACUCUGUUAUUAGGGAAGAACAACUGUGUAAGUAACUAUGCACGUCUUGACGGUACCUAAUCAGAAAGCCACGGCUAACUACGUG
Molecule: ribosomal RNA, 497 nt
Filed under: uncultured bacterium
Lineage: Bacteria
Description: partial 16S ribosomal RNA
Rfam family: Bacterial small subunit ribosomal RNA
Source: RNAcentral